Molecule: ribosomal RNA, 386 nt
Filed under: uncultured bacterium
Lineage: Bacteria
Description: bacterial SSU rRNA
Rfam family: Bacterial small subunit ribosomal RNA
Source: RNAcentral
CUUGAACGCUGGCGGCAUGCCUUACACAUGCAAGUCGAACGGCAGCACGGGGGCAACCCUGGUGGCGAGUGGCGAACGGGUGAGUAACAUAUCGGAACGUGCCCUGGAGUGGGGGAUAACUAGUCGAAAGACUAGCUAAUACCGCAUACGAUCUACGGAUGAAAGUGGGGGAUCGCAAGACCUCAUGCUCGUGGAGCGGCCGAUAUCUGAUUAGCUAGUUGGUGGGGUAAAGGCCUACCAAGGCAUCGAUCAGUAGCUGGUCUGAGAGGACGACCAGCCACACUGGGACUGAGACACGGCCCAGACUCCUACGGGAGGCAGCAGUGGGGAAUUUUGGACAAUGGGCGCAAGCCUGAUCCAGCAAUGCCGCGUGAGUGAAGAAGGCC